GAUGAACGCUGGCGGCGUGCCUAAUACAUGCAAGUCGAGCGAACAGACGAGAGUGCUUGCACUCUCUGACGUUAGCGGCGGACGGGUGAGUAACACGUGGGUAACCUACCUAUAAGACUGGGAUAACUUCGGGAAACCGGAGCUAAUACCGGAUAAUAUUUAGCUUCGCAUGAAGCAAUAGUGAAAGACGGUUCUGCUGUCACUUAUAGAUGGGCCCGCGGUGUAUUAGCUAGUUGGUGAGGUAACGGCUCACCAAGGCAACGAUACAUAGCCGACCUGAGAGGGUGAUCGGCCACACUGGGACUGAGACACGGCCCAGACUCCUACGGGAGGCAGCAGUAGGGAAUCUUCCGCAAUGGACGAAAGUCUGACGGAGCAAUGCCGCGUGAGUGAAGAAGGUUUUCGGAUCGUAAAACUCUGUUGUAAGGGAAGAACAAGUACGUUAGUAACUGAACGUACCUUGACGGUACCUUACCAGAAAGCCACGGCUAACUACGUG
This 499-nucleotide ribosomal RNA is filed under the name uncultured bacterium. RNAcentral describes it as "partial 16S ribosomal RNA". It matches the Rfam family "Bacterial small subunit ribosomal RNA", at positions 28 to 507 of the family's 1533-position model. The record is from RNAcentral.